RNAcentral lists this small RNA (30 nucleotides) under Bombyx mori (domestic silkworm). RNAcentral describes it as "ovarian small RNA-29289". Lineage: Eukaryota; Metazoa; Arthropoda; Insecta; Lepidoptera; Bombycidae. The record is from RNAcentral.
UCGUCUCGGGCGACACACCGUGAUCGGCGC